CAGUAGCCGCGGGAAUACGUAGGGUGCGAGCGUUAAUCGGAAUUACUGGGCGUAAAGCGUGCGCAGGCGGUUCGUUAAGACAGAUGUGAAAUCCCCGGGCUUAACCUGGGAACUGCAUUUGUGACUGGCGAGCUAGAGUAUGGCAGAGGGAGGUAGAAUUCCACGUGUAGCAGUGAAAUGCGUAGAGAUGUGGAGGAAUACCGAUGGCGAAGGCAGCCCCCUGGGCCAAUACUGACGCUGAGGUACGAAAGCAUGGGGAGCAAACAGGAUUAGAUACCCCCGUAGUCCCUGUCUCUUAUAC
This 301-nucleotide ribosomal RNA is filed under the name uncultured bacterium. Its description in RNAcentral is "partial 16S ribosomal RNA". It matches the Rfam family "Bacterial small subunit ribosomal RNA", at positions 509 to 807 of the family's 1533-position model. The record is from RNAcentral.